Molecule: ribosomal RNA, 738 nt
Filed under: uncultured bacterium
Lineage: Bacteria
Description: bacterial SSU rRNA
Rfam family: Bacterial small subunit ribosomal RNA
Source: RNAcentral
GCUAUACAUGCAGUCGAGCGAAUGACGAAGAAGCUUGCUUCUUCUGAUUUAGCGGCGGACGGGUGAGUAACACGUGGGCAACCUGCCCUGUAGAUUGGGAUAACUCCGGGAAACCGGGGCUAAUACCGAAUAAUCCAUUUCCUCACAUGGGGAGAUGUUAAAAGACGGCAUCUCGCUGUCACUACAGGAUGGGCCCGCGGCGCAUUAGCUAGUUGGUGAGGUAACGGCUCACCAAGGCGACGAUGCGUAGCCGACCUGAGAGGGUGAUCGGCCACACUGGGACUGAGACACGGCCCAGACUCCUACGGGAGGCAGCAGUAGGGAAUCUUCCACAAUGGACGAAAGUCUGAUGGAGCAAUGCCGCGUGAGUGAAGAAGGUUUUCGGAUCGUAAAACUCUGUUGUGAGGGAAGAACAAGUACGAGAGUAACUGCUCGUACCUUGACGGUACCUCAUUAGAAAGCCACGGCUAACUACGUGCCAGCAGCCGCGGUAAUACGUAGGUGGCAAGCGUUGUCCGGAAUUAUUGGGCGUAAAGCGCGCGCAGGCGGUCCUUUAAGUCUGAUGUGAAAUCCCACGGCUCAACCGUGGAAGGUCAUUGGAAACUGGGGGACUUGAGUACAGAAGAGGAAAGCGGAAUUCCAAGUGUAGCGGUGAAAUGCGUAGAGAUUUGGAGGAACACCAGUGGCGAAGGCGGCUUUCUGGUCUGUAACUGACGCUGAGGCGCGAAAGCGUGGGGA